UUAAGUUAAUAAGGGCGCACGGUGGAUGCCUUGGCACUAGGAGCCGACGAAGGACGUGACAAACGACGAUAUGCCUUGGGUAGCUGUAAGUAAGCGAUGAUCCAGGGAUUUCCGAAUGGGGGAACCCAACAGGUAAUACCUGUUACCCACAUCUGUUAAGGAUGUGAGGAGGAAGACGCAGUGAACUGAAACAUCUAAGUAGCUGCAGGAAGAGAAAGCAAAAGCGAUUGCCUUAGUAGCGGCGAGCGAAACGGCAGAAGGGCAAACCGAAGAGUUUACUCUUCGGGGUUGUAGGACUGCAAUGUGGACUCAAAGAUUAUAGAAGAAUGAUUUGGGAAGAUCAGCCAAAGAGAGUAAUAGCCUCGUAUUUAAAAUAGUCUUUGUACCUAGCAGUAUCCUGAGUACGGCGGGACACGUGAAAUCCCGUCGGAAUCUGGGAGGACCAUCUCCCAACCCUAAAUACUCCCUAGUGACCGAUAGUGAACCAGUACCGUGAGGGAAAGGUGAAAAGCACCCCGGGAGGGGAGUGAAAUAGAACCUGAAACCGUGUGCCUACAACAAGUUCGAGCCCGUUAAUGGGUGAGAGCGUGCCUUUUGUAGAAUGAACCGGCGAGUUACGUUAUGAUGCGAGGUUAAGUUGAAGAGACGGAGCCGUAGGGAAACCGAGUCUGAAUAGGGCGCCUUAGUAUCAUGACGUAGACCCGAAACCAUGUGACCUACCCAUGAGCAGGUUGAAGGUGCGGUAAGACGCACUGGAGGACCGAACCAGGGCACGUUGAAAAGUGCUUGGAUGACUUGUGGGUAGCGGAGAAAUUCCAAACGAACUUGGAGAUAGCUGGUUCUCUCCGAAAUAGCUUUAGGGCUAGCGUCGACAUUAGAGAUUCUUGGAGGUAGAGCACUGUUUGGGUGAGGGGUCCAUCCCGGAUUACCAAUCUCAGAUAAACUCCGAAUGCCAAUGAAUUAUGGUCGGCAGUCAGACUGCGAGUGCUAAGAUCCGUAGUCGAAAGGGAAACAGCCCAGACCACCAGCUAAGGUCCCAAAAUAAUUGUUAAGUGGAAAAGGAUGUGGGGUUGCACAGACAACUAGGAUGUUAGCUUAGAAGCAGCUAUUCAUUCAAAGAGUGCGUAAUAGCUCACUAGUCGAGUGACCCUGCGCCGAAAAUGUACCGGGGCUAAAACAAUUUACCGAAGCUGUGGAUACCUUUAUAGGUAUGGUAGGAGAGCGUUCUAUGUGUGAUGAAGGUAUACCGUGAGGAGUGCUGGAACGCAUAGAAGUGAGAAUGCCGGUAUGAGUAGCGAAAGACAGGUGAGAAUCCUGUCCACCGUAAGACUAAGGUUUCCAGGGGAAGGCUCGUCCGCCCUGGGUUAGUCGGGACCUAAGGAGAGACCGAAAGGUGUAUCCGAUGGACAACAGGUUGAUAUUCCUGUACUAGAGUAUGUAGUGAUGGAGGGACGCAGUAGGCUAACUAAAGCAGACGAUUGGAAGAGUCUGUCUAAGCAGUGAGGUGUGAUAUGAGUCAAAUGCUUAUAUCUGUAACAUUGAGCUGUGAUGGGGAGCGAAGUUUAGUAGCGAAGUUAGUGACGUCACACUGCCAAGAAAAGCUUCUAGCGUUUAAACAUACUCUACCCGUACCGCAAACCGACACAGGUAGUCGAGGCGAGUAGCCUCAGGUGAGCGAGAGAACUCUCGUUAAGGAACUCGGCAAAAUGUCCCCGUAACUUCGGGAGAAGGGGUGCUGACUUUAAGUCAGCCGCAGUGAAUAGGCCCAAGCAACUGUUUAUCAAAAACACAGCUCUCUGCUAAAUCGUAAGAUGAUGUAUAGGGGGUGACGCCUGCCCGGUGCGGGAAGGUUAAGAGGAGUGCUUAGCGUAAGCGAAGGUAUGAAUUGAAGCCCCAGUAAACGGCGGCCGUAACUAUAACGGUCCUAAGGUAGCGAAAUUCCUUGUCGGGUAAGUUCCGACCCGCACGAAAGGCGUAAUGAUUUGGGCACUGUCUCAACGAGAGACUCGGUGAAAUUUUAGUACCUGUGAAGAUGCAGGUUACCCGCGACAGGACGGAAAGACCCCAUGGAGCUUUACUGCAGUUUGAUAUUGAGUGUCUGUACCACAUGUACAGGAUAGGUAGGAGUCUAAGAGAUCGGGACGCCAGUUUCGAAGGAGACGCUGUUGGGAUACUACCCUUGUGUUAUGGCCACUCUAACCCAGAUAGGUGAUCCCUAUCGGAGACAGUGUCUGACGGGCAGUUUGACUGGGGCGGUCGCCUCCUAAAAGGUAACGGAGGCGCCCAAAGG
Molecule: ribosomal RNA, 2290 nt
Filed under: Streptococcus pneumoniae
Lineage: Bacteria; Bacillati; Bacillota; Bacilli; Lactobacillales; Streptococcaceae
Description: bacterial LSU rRNA
Rfam family: Bacterial large subunit ribosomal RNA
Source: RNAcentral